RNAcentral lists this ribosomal RNA (446 nucleotides) under uncultured bacterium. RNAcentral describes it as "partial 16S ribosomal RNA". It matches the Rfam family "Bacterial small subunit ribosomal RNA", at positions 329 to 792 of the family's 1533-position model. The record is from RNAcentral.
UACCAGACUCCUACGGGAGGCAGCAGUGGGGGAUAUUGCACAAUGGGGGGAACCCUGAUGCAGCGACGCCGCGUGAGUGAAGAAGUAUUUCGGUAUGUAAAGCUCUAUCAGCAGGAAAGAAAAUGACGGUACCUGACUAAGAAGCCCCGGCUAACUACGUGCCAGCAGCCGCGGUAAUACGUAGGGAGCAAGCGUUGUCCGGAAUUACUGGGCGUAAAGGGCGCGUAGGUGGGCGCUUAAGUCAGGUGUGAAAACUCCGGGCUCAACCUGGAGACUGCACUUGAAACUGGGUGUCUUGAGGGCAGGAGAGGAAAGUGGAAUUCCUAGUGUAGCGGUGAAAUGCGUAGAUAUUAGGAGGAACACCAGUGGCGAAGGCGACUUUCUGGACUGUACCUGACGCUGAGGCGCGAAAGCGUGGGGAGCAAACAGGAUUAGAUACCCUGGUA